GUGGCACCCAGGGGUGCUGUACCAUAGAGCUACAUCUCCAGCCCUUUGUAUUUUUCAUUUUGAGACAGAGUCUAAGUUACUGAGGCUGGCCUCCAACUUGCAAUCCUCCUGCCUCAGCCUCUGAGUUGUUGGAAUUACAGUCAUGCACUACUGCUGCAGGCUCAUGGCUCAUUUUUCAGGGAAAAGGAUCUAGCACUUUCAUCAGAUUCCUUUGUUAUGGGCCAGGCUAUAUGGGCAAUGACCAAACAGACUCCAUUUUACCCUGAGACUCCAUAGCAUGUAAGAAAUUCUUUUCCCAUGGGAAAGCCCCGCCUCUGUUCCCACUAAUAGUUUCCUAGCAGAGCAUACUUGGCAACACAAAAUAGUAAUUCUUAUACAAUGUAAAAUUGUUCUCUUUGCUUUCCAUUUUUCUGGGGCAAUGCACAUUGUCAGAGAUCGAUUGUCUAGACGUUAGUAACCACUCUCUAACUUGUGCUGAACUAGGGUCAUUUUGACCUCCUUCCCUUCUGCUUGCUUGCUACUAUGCCAACCUGGAAAUUCCCAUGGGAAAUACCAACUUACCCAUUGCAUUGUCUCGCUAACUGCCCAAUUCAGCUUCUGUACCUGCAUUCUUGCAGCUACGUCAACCCAGAUGUGGUUUUUGCCUUUAAAUAUCCUAAAAUGCUCAGGCUCGGGGCUUUUCCUUGUAGAGACAGUUAGGGGUGCUGCAGGGAGCAGUCACCAGCCGGCUAGCUAAAUAAAGACUCUUCAAUUUGGACAAAACUGGGACUCGGUAUGCUUUCUGAGUGACCUGCCCCGAAAUGUUUGGAGGCCCCAGCGAGAUCUACUUUUCUUGCAUUCUGGCGGUCGCACAAGGAAGGUGAGGUGGUGGAACGAUCACCUAGGGGAAGGCCUCUGAAAAGAUGUUCCUCAGCCCUAGGGCCAUCUCUCCACCAACCCCCACCCACCUAAAACUACAAGAGUCAUCUGUUUCCCCAGGGAAGGUAUCAAUGACUUGGCUGGGAGUGUAACUCAGCGGUAGUUUGCCUAGCAUGCAUGAGGACCCAGGUUUGGUCUCCAUCACCACCAAAAUAAGCAAAUGGCAGCUGUAUUGAGACAUGAUCCAUAUGCCUUCAAGUCUACCCAUCUGUAGUGCCCACUUCCGUGUCUUGUUAGUAUGUCCCCAGAGUGCAACAUUGGGACUCAGCACCUGCCACACCCAGGGAGCCUGUGCUCACAGUUAUCCAGCCAUCACUCCAUGCCCCUGGCCCUGGCAACCCCUCACCUACUUGCUCGCUCUGUGGAUUUGGCUGUUCUGGACAUUUUGUGUAAAUGGAACCAUAUAAUGUGUCUUUUGUGACUGGCAUCUCUCACCUAGCAUAAGGAUCUCAGGGCACAUCCCUUCUGAAACACACAUCACUGUGCUAGCCCUCUCCAUGGCUGAAUAACAUUCCAGCCCAUGUCCGCCCACGCACAGCUGAGGGCCAUCUGGGUUGUGUCCAUCUUUUGGCUAUUGUGCACAUGCUUCUGUGAACAUCUGCAUAUGACUUUGUGUGGACAGUGUCAUUUCUCCUGGGUAAGCACCUAGGAGUGGACUAGCUGUGUCAUGUCGUAACUCUUGAGCCAUUUGACUCUAUCCACAACAGCUGCAUCAUGUGACACACCCACCUACAGUGUGUGAAGGUUACGGCUGCACUAAAUUCUUCGCUUUCACUUGUUAUUGUUAUGUUUGGUGCUAGGAUAGAACCUAGGGUCUUGCACAUGCUAGGCCUGUGCUAUACCACUGAACCACCCAUCAGCCCUUUUUUUCUUGAGACAGGUCUUGUUAAGUUCUCCAGGCUGCCCUCGAACUCGCAUCCUCCUGCCUCAGCCUCACAAGUCACUGGGAUCGCAGACACACCACCACUGCUCAGCCUGUUACCAUCUUCUCCUUAACCACUGAGCCACAUCCCCAGUCUUUUUUUAUUUUUUGAGACAGGGUCUCAUAAAGUUGAUUGGGGCCUCCCUAAAUUGCUGAGGCUGGCUUUGAACUUGCAAUCCUCCUGCCUCAGCCACCCCAGCCACUGGGAUUGACAGCCGUGCACCCUGGUGCCCGGCAUGUUGCUGUCUUCUUGCCAGCCCUCCUACUGGGAUGAAGUGCCUCUCCUGAGGUUUUGAUUUCCAUCCCUGAUGGUGGUGAUGUGAAACGUCUUUGCCUGUGUUCAGUGGCCGUUUCUAUAUCUUCUUUGGAAGAAUGCCUGUUCAGCUCCUUUGCCCAUUUUUAACUGGGUUAUGUGUCCUUUUGUUCUUCAUAUGUUCCAGACGUCAGCCCCUUGGCAGAUCCUUGGUUUUCAAAAAAAGUCUUUUUCCAUCCUGCAAGUUGCCUUCCACUUUGUGUGUGCACGUGCAGGCUUGUGGGUGUGCAGUGUGGGAUGGAACCCAGGCCUCUGUGCGCACUAAGCUAGACCUCAGCCUUGUCUUUUCACUUUUUUUUUUUUUGGCAGUGCUGGACCUUGCAGCACUAGGCAAGCACCCACCACUGACCUAGCUACACUCCCAGCCCAUCUUUCCACUUCUUUUAAUGUGUGUGUGGUGCUGGGGACUGAGCCCAGGGCCUGGUGCAGGUGAGGCAAGCGCUCUACAGAUGGAGCUGUGUCCGCAGCUUUUCACUUUGGAUGGUGUUCUUUGAAGCAUGAAAGUUUUUAAUUUGAA
This is a long non-coding RNA of Marmota monax (woodchuck), 2670 nucleotides long. RefSeq lists it as uncharacterized. The transcript is spliced from 2 exons. Lineage: Eukaryota; Metazoa; Chordata; Mammalia; Rodentia; Sciuridae. The record is from RefSeq and is a predicted model, not a curated record.